ACCGAGCUUGGUGCGAUGGGAAAAUACGCUCAUGAGUUCGAGCAGAGAGGUGUGAAGCUCCUUGGUUUGUCUUGUGACGACAUACAGUCGCACAAAGAUUGGAUCCCCGACAUUGAGGCAUUUACUGUAAGAUUUAAUUUCAUGCAUGCAUGAUGCAUAUAAUAUAAAACUAAUUAACAUUUUGACAUACCUAUUACGUUCUCGUUUUGAUUAAUUGCAAGUAACAUUGUGUUCUUCUUUUAUUAUGACAUAAAAUUGAUAUAGCCUGGAAGCAAAGUGACAUACCCAAUAAUCGCUGAUCCGAACAAAGAGAUCAUCCCUCAGCUUAACAUGAUUGAUCCUAUUGAGAACGGUCCCUCUCGUGCCCUUCAUGUAGUUGGUCCUGAUUGCAAGGUAAAUGAUCAUAUGUCAUAAUUUCAUUCUCAUUUAUUUUUGCAUGUAUAUAUGAUUAAUUAUGAUUUUUUUUUAUAGAUAAAGUUGAGUUUCCUGUAUCCGUCCACCACGGGACGUAACAUGGACGAAGUGCUGAGGGCUUUAGACUCGUUGUUGAUGGCGGCCAAAC
RNAcentral lists this long non-coding RNA (562 nucleotides) under Brassica napus (rape). RNAcentral's name for it is "long non-coding RNA (BNAP_LNC018659)". Lineage: Eukaryota; Viridiplantae; Streptophyta; Magnoliopsida; Brassicales; Brassicaceae. The record is from RNAcentral.